Molecule: ribosomal RNA, 447 nt
Filed under: uncultured bacterium
Lineage: Bacteria
Description: bacterial SSU rRNA
Rfam family: Bacterial small subunit ribosomal RNA
Source: RNAcentral
AACGAACGCUGGCGGCAUGCCUAACACAUGCAAGUCGAACGAAGCCUUCGGGCUUAGUGGCGCACGGGUGCGUAACGCGUGGGAAUCUGCCCUUCGGUUCGGAACAACAGUUAGAAAUGACUGCUAAUACCGGAUGAUGACGUAAGUCCAAAGAUUUAUCGCCGAAGGAUGAGCCCGCGUAGGAUUAGCUAGUUGGUAAGGUAAAAGCUUACCAAGGCGACGAUCCUUAGCUGGUCUGAGAGGAUGAUCAGCCACACUGGGACUGAGAUACGGCCCAGACUCCUACGGGAGGCAGCAGUGGGGAAUAUUGGACAAUGGGGGGCAACCCUGAUCCAGCAAUGCCGCGUGAGUGAUGAAGGCCUUCGGGUUGUUAAAGGCUCUUUUGGUCGGGGACGAGUGAUGACGGUACCCGCAGAAUAAGCCCGGCUAACUUCGUGCCAGCAGCCG